GGGGGCGACUUGGCUUUGACGGAUUGUUGAAGAGAAAGUAUAAAGCAUGUGGAGUUCGGCUGCCUUAGUGCGAAAAAAUGCUUAAACGCAAACUAUAAUACAAGCUUGGUUGCUGCGUAAUGCAACUCGCAUUUGUUGAAUGCCGCGAUCAACAAAUUGCGUCAAACAGUGGCUUUGGAAAAAUUGGGUUUCUCGACAAGUUUUCCGAGAUUUUGAGAAUAGCAAAAUUCAAAUUUGUUUGUGGAUGAGAAUUUUGCGAAUGCCAACCACAAACUAAACAUGUAGAAAGGCUUUUGUUUCACUUUUCGGACGUGGGUUCAACUCCCACCGCUUCCACCA
This 339-nucleotide transfer-messenger RNA is filed under the name Christensenellales. RNAcentral's name for it is "UMGS1470 sp900552105 Standard tmRNA". It matches the Rfam family "transfer-messenger RNA". Rfam says of the family: Bacterial tmRNA, also known as 10Sa RNA or SsrA, is named for its dual tRNA and mRNA-like properties. Its role is to liberate the mRNA from a stalled ribosome. To accomplish this part of the tmRNA is used as a reading frame that ends in a translation stop signal. RNAcentral also lists the same sequence under 1 other name. Lineage: Bacteria; Bacillati; Bacillota; Clostridia. The record is from RNAcentral.